Molecule: long non-coding RNA, 921 nt
Organism: Etheostoma spectabile (orangethroat darter)
Lineage: Eukaryota; Metazoa; Chordata; Actinopteri; Perciformes; Percidae
Exons: 2
Source: RefSeq, a predicted model, not a curated record
GUUUUUAAGUGUAUGCCUUUUAUUAGAGAGUUUACAGUUUACAGUCUCCAUUUUCUGUAAGAUAAAUGGAGUUAGUGGAUGAAAAAUCUGAUAAAUUAAGUACCCGAUGAAUCAAGGUACUUCAUCACAUUGAUGUAAAAUGUAUAUACAAACGUUUUUGCUCAUUGAAUUUAUAUCUAAUGUUGACAUUAAAACAUUAGAUAUCUGCGAUAAAACCAUAUAACAUGAUACCAUAUUAUAAUAUUUUACAUGUUGAUACAUCUGUACUUUAUAAUCUAAUAAAAUAGAAAUGUCAAAGGGAGCGAUCUAUUGAUGCAAAAUCACAAUUACAGUUUUGUACUUGGGCAAGAAAGUUUGUAUUUUGCAUACCGACUGCUCAGCUACACAGUAUAAAAAGAAUGUCAAUAUCUCUGUUGACCGAUUUAAAGUCUCAUAUCUUCUCUCUCAGCUCAAGGACACAACUCAUAGGAAAAAGCACACUGAUUCAUUUGCAGCCUUUAAUUGUGCAAACAGAUUAACAUUUGGACAGUUUAGUGUCUUCAGCAGAGUCAGACGAACAUUGUAUUCAGCUUUCAGAAUCAGAAUAUUACUCAGAAACAGGUUUUUUUCAAUUGUCACAGAAUGUUAAAACUCAACUUAAAACCUGAAAAAACGUCUCAACUGACACUGUUGAACACUUCAUUUUGAGUACGAGAGGACUUUUUUUAUAUUGUGUACUUUUGAUGAAAUACAGAAUUGUUGACCUGGUUCUGUUGAUGUUGCUGAAAUACCUUUUGUAUUGCAUAUUUUUAAAUUUGGAGUUCAUAGGUUAAAACAAUGUGUAGUGUAUCUUUCAGUACUUUCUUGACUUCCUGUCAGUAGUUUCAUCAGUAAUCUCCUGAAACAGCUAGUCGCUGUUGUUUUUAUCAAACAAACAGGAAG